UGUGUAUAAAAAUAGCCCGUGCUCUCUCUGCCUGAGAGGGAGGAGGCAGGCACCUAGUGAACCAGCGAGAGAGCGCUACAGUCCCCUCCUUCCUGCUGGCCCCUCACCCUGAGGCAGCCCUGUGGCCUGGGGCGGAAGGGCCCCUACUUCUGCAGUGCUGGAGUCCCAGGUUCUUGGCACCCAGGAAUGAAACAGCAUCUUCUCUAACAUCAGGCCCCACGGGAGGCCAACAGAUUAACGCGUUUGCUCAGGGCCUUGCAGCUGCUGGACACUCCAUCCCCGAUCCUCACUGCAGAGAACAGACUCCUGAGCUCCAGAAAGCCUGGGGACUGACCACAGCUCCCCGAGGAGCUCCUGCAGAGCCUGGAAGUCCAGGGCUGAGGCCUGUUACCGUCACAUCACUGUCUCUGCCUCAGCCUGCACAUGGCUUUCCCCUCUUCUGUGUCCCUGCCUUGUCUCCUCUAAGGACACUUUUGAUGACACGGAGACCCCACCUGGGUAAUCUAGGAUGAUCGGAUCUCAGUAUCCUUGACAUCUACAAAGGACCCUUUCUCCAGAUAAGGUCAUAUCCACAGGUUCCAGGGAUAAAGAUGUGGACUUAUCUUUUGGGGGCCGCCAUUCAACCCGGUGCAACCACGAGCGUUAUCACUGCUGUCAGCAUCCUUACAAACAUCAGUUAAGUACUAAUGUACCAGGCUUAGUCUGGGUGCUUUUCCUGUACCAUCUCCUUUAGUCCUUAAGACAAACUUAGGGCAGGUACUGUUAUUAUCCCCAUUUAAUAAGGACAUCGAGGCUCAGGGAGAAGUGAGCCCUUGUCCAGGGUCUCCCUUGAAACCCAGGCAGUCUGAUUUCAGUGUCUCCUGCCUUGCCAUAGUUACCUUGCUCCACCCCAUCCUGUUUCUGAUCAUACAGAUAAUUCCAUGGCAGAAUCAGUGUGGGACAAUGAGCACCCAAAUGGGUGGCAAGGUGCCUGGGUUCUGAUCUAGGUUCUGCCAUUAGACAGAGGCAGAUGCCAGCCGGGUCUCUUCCCCACUCUGGGCCUCAGUGUGCCCAUUGGUAAAAUCGGAAAGUGGUUGGUUUGGAUAAUCUCCAAGAUCCU
RNAcentral lists this long non-coding RNA (1099 nucleotides) under Bos indicus x Bos taurus (hybrid cattle). RNAcentral describes it as "lncRNA (ENSBIXG00005013416.1)". Lineage: Eukaryota; Metazoa; Chordata; Mammalia; Artiodactyla; Bovidae. The record is from RNAcentral.